Non-coding RNA from Microcebus murinus (gray mouse lemur), 3666 nucleotides. The record is from RefSeq and is a predicted model, not a curated record. Lineage: Eukaryota; Metazoa; Chordata; Mammalia; Primates; Cheirogaleidae.
CUCCCUCUCCCAUGAAUGCAGGCUGCACCCGAGGAGCUGCGCCUGCUCCCCUGCUUGCCCCUGCGCAGCACAAACAACCUCGGUACCGUCAGUGAAAUCCUCAGAUCGCUCGCAGUGCGCAGCGCCCCCACUUCUCAGUCACAUGUCAGGCCCAGAAGCAGCUAUGAUGAUUACAGCAUCACCUCCCUCCUCUCCAUCUACACAGUUGAACAGCUGCGCUGCAGUCUAGAAAAGUCACCCUGAAAACCAGCUCUAGUUUGAGGAGGUGACAUGUUCUUGCUUUGUCCCCAAAGAUGUUCUUCUGCUGUCCUCGCAGGGGGGAGUACCUCCUGGGCUGGCUGCAGCAGUCCUGCCCAGGGAGGGAGAGAUCUGGCCACCAGUACGGAAGCUGAAUGUCACCAGUCUGGGAUGAGCAGUCAUUUUGAUGGGCAUGCACAACUGCUUCUGAUGGAACUGAGACAAAAAGAAAACAUAAGGAAAAAAAUUUCCUCCUGUGAAAUGGAAGAAUGGGAACAGAAGCCCAGCCCCAGAGCCCUGGCAGCUCUCAGGCCGUGUGCCUCAAGAGGAAAGAAGGAAUGGAGAGCAGAGGGGAGACUCGCUCAGAGCACAUUCUUGGUGGUGGUGUCCGUGUCGCUGGGCUGUGAGCUCCACAGAGGCAGCCCACGGUCACUCUCAUCCCCUGCUCUGUCCCCAGACCUGGCUCACUGCCUGCCUUGCAACAGAAGCCCAGGAUGUACUUGGGGAACGAAUGGAACAGUGAGUGUCUCCGGACUAUGUAAGCUGCCUAGUGACCGUCACCCAGAACAGUGACUGCAUGCUUUCUGCCAGUCUGGGGAAAGUCCCUCUGCUCACUCUAGGCCCAACUCAUGGCCCAUCUGGUCAUUUCUUUUCCUCCUCUCAUGCCUGCCCAUUCCACUGCCCCUUCCCUUGCCACCGCUUCUCCUCUGGGCUGUUGGCACAGCCUCCUCCAACAACGCUCCCUGCCCCCAUCCCCUUCUCUCCCCCACUUUCUAAUCUGCCUCAUCUGCGUGAGAUUCUGAAUUCAUAUGUCCCAGCUCUUACCCUGUAGCCGCCACAUCCAAGACUAUACUGGCUCCAGGAUGACCACAGGAGGAGAGCCAGCAGUCCGGCCUGGCUCCCUUCCUGCAUCCCAGCUCCCUCUGGCCCUCUGGCAGGCUCAGGCUUUGCUCGAAGUCUGCCGUCACCUCUUUGAUCCUGCCCUUUCCUGCCGCUGCCUGUCCCAUCCAAUCUGCAUGGCCCUCAACAGAAGGGAGAACUAGGGCUUGAGAAUCAGAGAUGUGGGUUUGAACUCUGGUCCCCUAGUUCCUACCCGAGGGGACAAUGACAAAUUCUUUAACCUGAGCCUCAAUGUUCUUUUCUCUAAAACAGGCAAUAAAAGUACCUACCUGUGUCCUUGUGUGUCUAUAAGGAGAAUGUGUGUACAAAGGGCCUGGCACAUGGGACAGCUUAAAGAAUGGUAGAUAUGAUUUUCGGUAAAUCCUAUAAGUAUAAAAAGAAAAAAAAGGCUAAAAAUGGAGCUAUAAUUUUUUUCUCAGUCCUCUACCAGCCAAAACACCGGAGGAAACUUCACUAAGCCUGCUGAAUACACUGCCGCAAGGGGACAGGGCGUCGAGUGUGGGUGCUGCCGCCCCAGCCUAGUGGGCCACGCCCUGAAGAGAAGCUCCCCCAACUCCCGUGCACCUUGGGAGGGAGGCCUCCUGGGCUGAAAGGCCAAGUGCGCCACGACGACGGGAAACCGGGAAACCGCAGGGAAGACAGGCCAGAAGCAGAGCCCUUCCAUGCUCAACCGCAGGCAUUUGGGACUGGCUCACGAGUGAGCACUAUGGAUGGGGAAGAUUCAGACAGACAGACAGACAGACAGCCUGUGGUCCCCCGACUGGGAGCUCCCUGAGGGCAGAGUCAUGAGCCUAAAGAUGGUUUGAGUAAGGGUGCCUCCAGAUUCCUGCUGAAACUUAGUCCCCGGUGCAACAGUGCUAAGAGGCGUGGCCUUUCGGAGGCGAUGAGUCAUCAGGGCUCUGCCCUCACAAUGGAAUGGGAGUAGGUGCCCUUCUAGAAAGGGUGGAUUUGGGGAGUGCACCCUUUUCCUCCCUUUCUGUCCUUCUGCCGCGUGAGGACACAGCGUCCCCCCUCUGGAGGGUGCAGCAACACCAUGCGUCCUGGAAGCGGAGGGCAGCCCUCACCAGACAGCUGAACCUGUGGGCACCUUGACCUCGGACUUCCGGCUCUGGAGCUGUGAGUGGAUUCGUUCCCUAGGGCUGCCAUGACGAACUACAAGAAACUGGGCGACUUAGGCGACAUGCAGUUGGCAUCUCACCGUUCUGGAGGCUGCGUGUGAGUCACGGUGUCGCAGUGUCGGCUUCUGCGGGCCGUGAGGGAAGACCUGUCCCAGGCCUCUCCCCAGCGUCUGCUGGCUUGCUGGUGACCUUCGCUGGACCCUGGCUUGUGGAUACAUCACUGCGACAGCUGCCUUCGUCUCCGUCUGAUGCUCUCCUGCGACUUCACCUUGUCUUCCCUCUGUGUCCAAAUUGCCCCUUUGUAUAGACAGCAAGAAUUCUAAAUCUGAAUUUGUCCUUCCAGGUGGUUAUGAAGAAACAAUUGUCAAGGUAGAAGAAUGGGACAUAUUAAAUAGUUUGUAGGAUUUGUAACUUUAAAAUAUUUAGACGCAUGGUAUGUGGGCCUCCAACUGUACCCUUGCCCCAGGCCCUGCAAAUGUCGUAGGCGGCCUGGCAGGUGUGACCACAGUGAAGGAGAAAGGAAACCACCAGUUGCUGCCUGUAGAGAGCGGACAGGGGCGGGGAAGGAUGGGAGAGAGAGCAUAGUGGCACUCUGUUGGGAGCCUCUUGGUCAAUGUGAUUUUCUGCUUUGCCACUUGCAUACUUCACUUUGCUAAAGCUUAGGAAAAUUAUUUAAGUUCCCACCUCUCCUUGGAAUCUUCCUGAUCCCCAGCUCUCACCUUCCUUCUCUGAACUUCCACAACGCUCGGCAGCUGUGCAGCAUUCUUCCUGCCCCGACCUGCUCUCCCAGAGGCCUCUGCUGCCAACACCACCUGCCCAGGCCGACUAGCUGCCCACUUUCUAAGAGGUUCCCCUGGGCUGAAUCAACAAGCCUCAUUGCCAGGCCUCAGUGGUCUGCAGCCCCAGCCGAGCCCCUCCUCCACCCAUCUCUGGCCUGGUGCUCCCACCUGUACCUCCCCACGUCCCUUCAGGGCUGGGAGAAGCCCCUGCCCGCAGCCUCUGUCUGGUGGCGGGGAGGGGGAGCAGCACUGUGGAGCGCCUGGCGCCUGGCGCGUUAGUGAGGAGCAGGCGUCUGCGGCACCAAAUGGCUUUCUGCUGUCAGCAAGAGGCUCGGACUUCCUCCUGGCCAUCCCUGGUCUUUCAGGUUGCUGUUCUCUGUGUGUUUCUAUCUCACCCCCCGCCCCCAGGCUCUCCCUGCUCCCUAGCCCUCCAACCAUCGCCUCAUUCCACUUUCCCUGUGGGACAAAGGGACUAUUGCUGUUCCCCACUUCCAGCCCCCAGGCGCUUCAUCUGCAGCAGCUACCCCUGCCCCACCCACCAAAUCUCGGCCAGUUCCUAGUCCCCACAGCUGACACAGGGACGGGAUCCUGACCCUGGAACACUUGUCCCAGGCUAGAACCUAGAAUCUAAA